GGUCGGUUUGGCCGGAUUUCACACAGGUGUUGCAUGGCUGUCGUCAGCUCGUGUCGUGAGAUGUUGGGCUAAGUCCCGCAACGAGCGCAACCCUCAUCCUUAGUUACCAUCAGGUUAUGCUGGGGACUUUAAGGAAACUGCCAGUGAUAAACUGGAGGAAGGUGGGGAUGAUGUCAAGUCAUCAUGGCCCUUAUGGAGUGGGCUACACACGUGCUACAAUGGUGAUUACUAUGGGCUGCAAGGUCGCAAGGCUGAUCUAAUCCUAAAAAAUCAUCUCAGUUCGGAUUGUUCUCUGCAACUCGAGAGCAUGAAGUUGGAAUCGCUAGUAAUCGUGGAUCAGCAUGCCACGGUGAAUACGUUCUCGGGUCUUGUACACACUGCCCGUCACGCCAUGGGAAUUGGUUUCACUCCAAGCU
This 416-nucleotide ribosomal RNA is filed under the name Wolbachia endosymbiont of Myzus persicae. RNAcentral describes it as "bacterial SSU rRNA". It matches the Rfam family "Bacterial small subunit ribosomal RNA", at positions 1013 to 1428 of the family's 1533-position model. The record is from RNAcentral. Lineage: Bacteria; Pseudomonadati; Pseudomonadota; Alphaproteobacteria; Rickettsiales; Anaplasmataceae.